GAACUUUUAGCUUAAGUUUGUUUAAAGUUUACUUGUGAUAUAAGUAAGAGUUUUGGUUAAAAUCCAAAAAAGUUCA
RNAcentral lists this transfer RNA (76 nucleotides) under Theileria orientalis. RNAcentral's name for it is "tRNA-Ile". Lineage: Eukaryota; Apicomplexa; Aconoidasida; Piroplasmida; Theileriidae. The record is from RNAcentral.